This 207-nucleotide ribosomal RNA is filed under the name Climacostomum virens. Its description in RNAcentral is "partial Bacterial small subunit ribosomal RNA". It matches the Rfam family "Bacterial small subunit ribosomal RNA", at positions 304 to 561 of the family's 1533-position model. The record is from RNAcentral. Lineage: Eukaryota; Ciliophora; Heterotrichea; Heterotrichida; Climacostomidae.
UAGGUCACAAUGGCACUGAAAAAAGGGCCAUCGCUUUUGCGCAGCAGUAAGUAAAUGUUGACAAUGUAUGAAUAGUAUGAUCUUGAUACGAUAGAAUAUGCUACAAUAGACCUUUAUUUGUCUAUUGUUUUAAAAGCGCCGGCAAAUUCCGUGCCAGCAACCGCGGUAAGACGGGAGGCGCAAGUCUAUUAUGCAAGGAAUAGGCGA